AGACUAUAUGCAUUCUUUAGAAAGAUGGGGUGUCUUUUGUGAGCCUGAGGCAAAGCUUGUGGAAGCAUACCCUAUUACACCUCCCUGACUUACAGAUGAGCAUGUCACUGUCGUCAGGUUCCACACAGUAGCAACCAAUGCCAUCUGUCAGCAGCUGCAGGGGUGGGGAUGCUGAAGUUUGAGGACGGGGGGUUGUAAACCAUUUCCCAAGCCGUUCAGGCAAAAUUUGGGGUCAUCACACUUCUGUGACAUAGAAGUCUCUGACAAACACAAGGGACAUUUGAUCUCCAUGACCCCCUACCAUGACAGUCACAGACAACAAUUCCAUCAGGGGAUGCUCCAAGCCAAGGUGUUUGUGGAUUUAUAACUAAUCCACAUCCCUCAAUGGAGAAAUGCUCAUGGCAUUUUAGCAUCAGUGCCUCAUAUUCCUUUUUGGCCUGUUUUUCAUAUCCCCAUCUUAAAACAUAAACAAGGCAAUUGUACAAAUGGAAAUACUGUAGGUGACAAAUGUGCAUACACAUUAAAGAUUUAUAGAGCUAAAUCAGGGGUUGUAAUUACCUGGUGGCUACUGAAGUGAACUUGUAGG
Molecule: long non-coding RNA, 586 nt
Organism: Acipenser ruthenus (sterlet)
Lineage: Eukaryota; Metazoa; Chordata; Actinopteri; Acipenseriformes; Acipenseridae
Exons: 3
Source: RefSeq, a predicted model, not a curated record